This 327-nucleotide ribosomal RNA is filed under the name uncultured eukaryote. RNAcentral describes it as "partial 18S ribosomal RNA". It matches the Rfam family "Eukaryotic small subunit ribosomal RNA", at positions 1470 to 1796 of the family's 1831-position model. The record is from RNAcentral.
CCCUUAGAUGUUCUGGGCCGCACGCGCGCUACACUGACGAAUGCAACGAGCUUAUAACCUUGGCCGAAAGGUCUGGGUAAUCUCCAAAUUUCGUCGUGAUGGGGAUAGAUUAUUGCAAUUAUUAAUCUUCAACGAGGAGUGCCUAGUAAGCGCAAGUCAUCAGCUUGCGUUGAUUACGUCCCUGCCCUUUGUACACACCGCCCGUCGCUCCUACCGAUUGAAUGGUCCGGUGAAGCGUUCGGACCGUGGCCUUUGGACGGUUCGCCGUCUGUUGGCUGCGGGAAGUUCGUUAAACCUUAUCAUUUAGAGGAAGGAGAAGUCGUANCA